UUAAAAAUUUAUUUAUUAAAUAGAAAAAGUUUUAUUUAUUUUAUUAAUAAAAAUAAUUUUAUUUUUAAAAUUUUUAGUAAUUUAUAAAGAAAAAAUAAAUAAUAAUAAUAAUAUAUUUGUACUGUAAAGUAGAAUUGAAAUAUAAUUGAAAAAUAUUUUUUUUAAAAGAAAAAUUUAUUUUUUGUACCUUGGGUAUCAGUGUUAAUUAAUUAAAAAAUAAAAUUUUUAUUUUUCUUGAUUUCAAAAGAUUUAAUAUUAUAUGUUAGUUAAUAUAAAAAAAUUAUUAAUAAUAUAUUAUUUGAAAUAAAAAGUUAAUCGUUUUUGAAUAUAUCUAGUUUUUUAAGAAAUAAAUUUAAUUUAGAAAAAUAAAUUAUUUAUUUUUAUCAUAAAAUAAAUAAAUUUUAUUGUUCAAUAUAUUAAGGGAUGAGCUUUAAUAUAAAUUUUUAUAAUUAUUUAAUAAAUUUAAAUAAAAAUAAACUUAUAAAUAGUUAUUUUUAGUAUUUAUGUUAUAAUUUAUUUUAGAAAAGAAAAUAUUUAUUAAUUUUAUAUUUAAAUUUUUAUUAAAAAAGUUUUUUGAAUGUUAAAAAAUACGAUAUUAUGAUUAAAUUAGUAAAUUAAAAAAAAAUUGUAAGAUAUAAUAUAUUAUUAUAUUAAAAGUUAAGUUAUAUGAAUUCGGCAAAAAUUAAAUAUUCACUUGUUUAUUAAAAACAUGUCUUUUUAUUAGAUUUUAUUAAAAAGUCAAACCUGCCCACUGAAAUUUUUUAAAGGGCCGCGGUAUUUUGACCGUGCAAAGGUAGCAUAAUCAUUAGUUUUUUAAUUGAGGACUAGUAUGAAUGGUUGGAUGAGAUAUUUACUUUAUUUAAUUAAUUAAAAUUGAAUUUUUUAUUUUAGUUAAAAUUCUAAAAUGUAAUUAAAAGACGAGAAGACCCUAUAAAUCUUUAUAUUUUUAUUUUUAUAAAAUAUUAAGAAUUAAGUGAUUUUUUUUAUAAAAUUAAAAAUAUUUUAUUGGGGUGAUAUUAAGAUUUUUUUAACUCUUAAUUGUUAUUUUUCAUUAUAAAUGUAAUAAUUUGAUCCAUUAUUAAUGAUUAAAAAUUUAAGUUACUUUAGGGAUAACAGCGUAAUUUUUUUAGAGAGUUCUUAUCGAUAAAAAAGAUUGCGACCUCGAUGUUGGACUAAGAAUUAAUUUAGGUGUAGCAGUUUAAAUGUUUGGUCUGUUCGACCAUUAAAUUCUUACAUGAUCUGAGUUUAGACCGGCGUAAGCCAGGUUGGUUUCUAUCUUUAAUUAAUUAAAUUAUUUUAGUACGAAAGGACCAAAUAUUUAAUUUUUAUAAUUUAUUUAAAGAAUAUUAUUAAAAUAAACAAAAAUUAUAAGAUAAAAGUUAUUUAAGAUUGAUAA
RNAcentral lists this ribosomal RNA (1396 nucleotides) under Brillia bifasciata. Its description in RNAcentral is "16S ribosomal RNA". The record is from RNAcentral. Lineage: Eukaryota; Metazoa; Arthropoda; Insecta; Diptera; Chironomidae.